RNAcentral lists this long non-coding RNA (357 nucleotides) under Fragaria vesca (wild strawberry). RNAcentral describes it as "long non-coding RNA (FVES_LNC003407)". The record is from RNAcentral. Lineage: Eukaryota; Viridiplantae; Streptophyta; Magnoliopsida; Rosales; Rosaceae.
GCCUCGACGAAAUGGCCGACGCGGGAUCUGGCCAUGACGGGGAUGGAGACGGCGCGUUUGAUGGCCUUGACGAGGGAGGGAUCGGGCAUGCGGAGAAUGCCGGCGGCGGCGCCGCGGGGGGAGGAGACGAUGACGGAGCAGGCGCCGGCGUCCUCGGCGAGCUUGGCUUGAUCGGGGUUGGUGACUUCGACGAUGGCGCCGCCGCGGAGCAUCUGGGCGAGGCCGACCUUGAGGCUGUAGGGAUUCUUUUUCUUCGAGGCGUCGGCGACUGCGCCGCUGGUGUAGAUGGUGACUGCACCGUCCUGAGACGCCAUGGUUUGUGAUUUGUGAAGAUGGGUUGAGGAUUGAGAGAGAGAA